This 1514-nucleotide unclassified non-coding RNA is filed under the name Stegodyphus dumicola. RNAcentral describes it as "ras-related protein Rab-31-like, transcript variant X1". Lineage: Eukaryota; Metazoa; Arthropoda; Arachnida; Araneae; Eresidae. The record is from RNAcentral.
GACGAAGUUGGGUUUAUGAUAACAGUAGCUUGGGAAUUUGAUUUUCAUAUCUCUUCAGCUGUUUGAGCUGUUUGGUUAUUCAAACACAGUCAGAUGAAAAUAUCAGAUUGAUAUUUCGGCCGCUUUGUUUGACAUUUGCGCCCAAUAGUUUAGCGUUCUAUUUGGUGUAGUUUUACUAUUGUUUAAAACAAAACUUUUUUUUAAUAUAGUAUUUCAAAUUCUUCAACGCACUGGUGCACGAAUUUACAAUAAAACUUGCAACUAAACCUGUUGAAAUUUGAUAACCAGUGAGAAACUGGAGGAAAUGCAGCUGGUUUUUCCUAGCAUUCUUUGAAGGCAGUCAAAGAAAGAUUUCGUGCUCAUUGUCUCUUAUAAAUUAUUUGUUUUGAGUUAUAUUGAGUUCAGGUCAGUUCGUGAAAAGAAAUUUUAUGAUGCAUAACUCUUCCUUUUCCGUUAAAACGUGCAUCAUUGGAUCACAAGGUGUCGGUAAAACAAGCAUAGUUUUCCAGCUGAGUAUGAAACAUUUUAAAUUAAAUGUCACACCCACCAUAGGCGCAUCUUUCUCUUGUAAAGUUAUAGAUGUUGAUUCACAUACAGUACGAUUCCAGAUUUGGGAUACAGCUGGACAAGAAACCUAUAAAUCAAUGCUACCAAUGUAUUAUAGGAAAGCUAAUUUAGCAAUGGUUGUGUAUGAUAUAACGUGCCAAGAUUCUUUCAAUAGUAUACCCAAAUGGAUAGAAGAAUUGGAAAAAAAUGCAGAUAAAGACUGUGUUAUCUGCAUAAUUGGUAAUAAAUGUGACCUCGAGUAUAAAAGAGCAGUUAAUCGAGAGAAAGCUGCUCAGUUUGCGAGUUCUAUUGGUGCUCUCUAUUUUGAGACUUCGGCAAAAACAAAUGAAGGCAUAAUGGAGGCAUUUAUACACGUAGCCCGACAAAUGGUCAAUCUGUAUCAUCGUCGAGAAUCUCUCUCAGCAAGUACAACGAGUAGUAGGACACGAUCACUUAGCCUGGAAGAUGGUUCUACAAAAUCUCAAUCGCGGUGCUGUUUUUAACUAAACAUCGUAGAUAUCAGAACAGUUAGCAAAAAUGAAAUAGGUAUUUGUGAGACUUACUCACAAAAUAAUCAAGCAAGACCGUCAGCAUAACAGCGCAAGUUCAAACGAAAUAAUGCUGAAUUUUCCAGAAUAUAUCACGAAGUCUGGCUGUGUUACUGUUACAAUAUUGAGAACUCUUUUUCCAAGGUUAAAGCCUCACUGAAUUACCAUAAAAACAUUCAAAGACGCAACGAAUUGAUUGCACGCAUGUGAGAACUAUUUAUGAAUGUCCUUGCGGCAAACUCAUGGAAGAAGGUUAUUUGCAUGUGUAAGUUUCCAUAAAUAGCAAACUGUGUUAUUGUUUGCGUUGUGCUUAAAUGCCUUCUUAUCAUCAAUCAUCUGGCUGCUAUCCUAGAAUGUUGUGUUAUUCUAUUUUUUCUUUUAUACUGCAGUUUCAAUAAACUUUUAAUAUAUAAUAAAAAA